GGGAUAACAUUUGGAAACAGAUGCUAAUACCGCAUAACAACGAAAACCACAUGGUUUUCGCUUGAAAGAUGGCUUAUGCUAUCACUCUGGGAUGGACCCGCGGUGCAUUAGCUAGUUGGUAAGGUAACGGCUUACCAAGGCGAUGAUGCAUAGCCGAGUUGAGAGACUGAUCGGCCACAAUGGAACUGAGACACGGUCCAU
This 201-nucleotide ribosomal RNA is filed under the name uncultured Lactobacillaceae bacterium. RNAcentral's name for it is "partial 16S ribosomal RNA". It matches the Rfam family "Bacterial small subunit ribosomal RNA", at positions 140 to 334 of the family's 1533-position model. The record is from RNAcentral. Lineage: Bacteria; Bacillati; Bacillota; Bacilli; Lactobacillales; Lactobacillaceae.